This 940-nucleotide long non-coding RNA is filed under the name Marmota monax (woodchuck). The record is from RNAcentral. Lineage: Eukaryota; Metazoa; Chordata; Mammalia; Rodentia; Sciuridae.
CACAAUUCAUUUUUUUUUUCCUGCUAAGAGUAACGCCUUUCAGCCAUGCUCCAUGGUGUCCCUCCUUUGCAGAUAUCCUGGAAUGAAAGGAUUUGUUUUCUUACAUCUGUUUUCUCUCAUCUUAGGAUAUUAAAUAGAGGCUAUUAAAUAAUACAGAUAGUUGCUGCAUUUAUCCCUCUCAAAUUUGUUUUUUUAUGAACUGAGAGCUAGGGGUUACAUUGAAUCUCUUCAUGCAUCAUGAACUGAGCCAUGCAGAGGGUCUUAUUUAAAUGCUGGUCUGAUUCUCAUGGGCUUGUUCUGCUCAUUUUAUUGUGAAAAAAAAUUAGAACCUCCCCCGCUGAAUCUUUUGGAAUCCUCAAAAAUUAAUCUAUAGAAAUGUUGGAAGAUCAUAUUUUGUGUAUAGAGGAAAUAAGACCAUAUGGAAUUACUGGACUAAUAGAAUAGUUAAGCUUUUUAUUCAAGACAACAAAAUGAAUUUUGAAUAUGCUGCUAAAUAUUGAUGGUGACAGUGUUUUUUCUUCUGUGAGUGAUCCAAGCCGAUUUAUAAAUAGUCUUUAAAGGGAACAGAGCCUUGUGGGGUUGAGGAAAAUAUUGCACUAGCUAUAUCUAGAUUAAGUUUGACAGCUUUACAACCCCCCAUCCCCCCAUUCCAAAGAUGCAGUCUAUGGGGUGGUCAUAUAGCCUAGAAAUAAAGAUCUUAAUAUUUUGCUAUUCCUUGUAUCAAUAAGUCCUUUGUUAAAAGACUUUCAUGGUUUCCAGACUUGGUGGCCACCUUGUAUAAUUCUUGCUCUUUUUUGGAAAGAACAAUGAAGUUUAUUCCUGCUGCCUUAAAAAAUAUGUAUCCUUCCUUCAUGCAUCAUGCCUGUCCCCAGGGAGUGUCCUUUACUAUUCCUGGGAAUGACUUCUGGCUAAACCUUCAUACUGGUGAGGAGAAAAAAAG